Non-coding RNA from Drosophila virilis, 1065 nucleotides. The record is from RefSeq and is a predicted model, not a curated record. NCBI's taxonomy places the organism in Eukaryota, Metazoa, Arthropoda, Insecta, Diptera, Drosophilidae.
UUAUAAAUUCAUGUCAGUCGAUUUCGGUGCCCACAUUUAAUUGAAAUAUUUUGAAAAUUUGUCUAAAUGAGAAUAAAUCACUGUUUGAUUGUAUGUGUGUUAUUUUACAAUAUGUGAAUAUACAUACGAAAGAAAAUACGAAAAGCAGAUAUCAAUGAAAUUGAUAUAGAUCUCUUGUAAAAUAAAAGGAAUUUUAUGCCAAGCGCUUGCUGAUAUUAUUAUUAGGAUUAAGAAUAAACAAAGAUUUAUCACAAAUGUAUUGCUUUCGCUCAAAGACAUGAUAAAUAGUAUUUGAGAAAACUACUCAAAAGUACUUAUAACUCCAAUGCAAAUACUUAAAACACACUCACUCACACACAUACACACACACACAGCUGCAAGUCAAUGACAGCUACAAGGAAAACAAACAAAAGCUUUUCCACAGUUGCAGAGAAAAACUCUUGAACUUUGAGUGUGAUUGAUUGCAACUGAAUGUAAUUGAAUAGCCGCAACUUGAAGAAUGCGCAAAAAAGCGAAAGUUUUCACUUUCAGACGGAUGGACGUGGGGAGAAGAAAAAACAACUUUCCGUCCAGACAGCUAGCAGACAGCAGAGCUGUCAUUGUGCAGGAAAAGCGGAAAAGCAUAAAUAGCAGCGAAGCGAAUGCAAAUGUGAAUUCAAUCUGGCAUUAAAAAUGCAACGAUGUGCGCUCAUAAAAGCGACUGAGACAAUGCUGCGAAUCAUAAAAGCCCAAAUUGCCAGACAUAAAGAAAGACCAUGGCUGAAGGAUACAAUUGUAUCUUGAGGGUUGCUUAGCCCGUCAGCCACUUAACUGCAACAAAUCGUCAAAUAAGUGGAAAAUAUUGCAGGCCACAAAUUGCUACAUUUCUCUGCCCAUCUUAUCUGGCGAGCUGCAGCACAGGCUGGGAGCUGGGAGCUGGGAGCAUAGGACCUCGAAAUCAGCGUACAACAUGCGACCCUUGCAGCUCACACACACACCCUUGAACUACAUCCCCCCGCUGAUAACACACGCUAAAUACAACAAGCAGAAGAUGUGGAGAGGGUUGAGGAUGAUAUCUGCCCAUAG